RNAcentral lists this ribosomal RNA (504 nucleotides) under uncultured bacterium. Its description in RNAcentral is "partial 16S ribosomal RNA". It matches the Rfam family "Bacterial small subunit ribosomal RNA", at positions 28 to 523 of the family's 1533-position model. The record is from RNAcentral.
GAUAAACGCUAGCGGCAGGCUUAACACAUGCAAGUCGAGGGGCAGCAUAGAUUGUAGCAAUACAAUUGGUGGCGACCGGCGCACGGGUGCGUAACGCGUAUGCAACCUACCCGUCACAGGGGGAUAAUCCGGAGAAAUCUGGUCUAAUACCCCAUAACAUAUGGAUCGGCAUCGGUUCAUGUUGAAAUUUUCGGAGGUGACGGAUGGGCAUGCGUAGCAUUAGCUUGUUGGUGAGGUAACGGCGCACCAAGGCGACGAUGCUUAGGGGGACUGAGAGGUUUGCCCCCCACACGGGUACGGAGACACGGACCAGACGCCUACGGGAGGCAGCAGUGAGGAAUAUUGGUCAAUGGGCGCAAGCCUGAAUCAGCCAUGCCGCGUGCAGGAUGACGGCUCUAUGAGUUGUAAACUGCUUUUGUACGAGGGUAAAGUGGGUUACGUGUAACCUUUUGAAAGUACCGUACGAAUAAGGAUCGGCUAACUCCGUGCCAGCCGCCGCAGUAA